Molecule: long non-coding RNA, 236 nt
Organism: Rhopalosiphum padi (bird cherry-oat aphid)
Lineage: Eukaryota; Metazoa; Arthropoda; Insecta; Hemiptera; Aphididae
Exons: 6
Source: RefSeq, a predicted model, not a curated record
UACAUAAGUAUGCAAAUCGUAUAAUGACUAUGAAAGUAUAAUAUUAAAAUCCUUUGAAGGAAUUUACUUUGAAAAAUCCUUAGUCGAUAACGCUAAUCUUUCUCAGGAAAACGAUGAUAAAAAUAACUCUGAUUUAGAUGAUUAUACUGAAGAUCAACUUUACGUACAUUCAAUUAUUUCAAUAAUAAAAAAAACUAAAAUACAAAACGCAGAUAAGUGGUGUAAAUCUAAUGCAG